Molecule: ribosomal RNA, 379 nt
Filed under: uncultured bacterium
Lineage: Bacteria
Description: bacterial SSU rRNA
Rfam family: Bacterial small subunit ribosomal RNA
Source: RNAcentral
AACGAACGCUGGCGGCAUGCCUAACACAUGCAAGUCGAACGGGAUCCUGGUUUCGGCCAGGUGAGAGUGGCGGACGGGUGAGUAACGCGUGGGAACCUGCCCAGUGGUGGGGGAUAACUGCGGGAAACUGCAGCUAAUACCGCAUGAGCCCGAAAGGGGAAAGAUUGAUCGCCAUUGGAGGGGCCCGCGUUCGAUUAGGUAGUUGGUGAGGUAACGGCUCACCAAGCCUUCGAUCGAUAGCUGGUCUGAGAGGAUGAUCAGCCACACUGGGACUGAGAUACGGCCCAGACUCCUACGGGAGGCAGCAGUGGGGAAUAUUGGACAAUGGGGGCAACCCUGAUCCAGCAAUGCCGCGUGAGUGAUGAAGGCCUUCGGUUGU